AGCAGCGCCGCGGGAAUACGUAGGGUGCAAGCGUUAAUCGGAAUUACUGGGCGUAAAGCGUGCGCAGGCGGUUAUAUAAGACAGAUGUGAAAUCCCCGGGCUCAACCUGGGAACUGCAUUUGUGACUGUAUAGCUAGAGUACGGCAGAGGGGGAUGGAAUUCCGCGUGUAGCAGUGAAAUGCGUAGAUAUGCGGAGGAACACCGAUGGCGAAGGCAAUCCCCUGGGCCUGUACUGACGCUCAUGCACGAAAGCGUGGGGAGCAAACAGGAUUAGAUACCCCAGUAGUCCCUGUCUCUUAUACA
Molecule: ribosomal RNA, 303 nt
Filed under: uncultured bacterium
Lineage: Bacteria
Description: partial 16S ribosomal RNA
Rfam family: Bacterial small subunit ribosomal RNA
Source: RNAcentral